This 3594-nucleotide long non-coding RNA is filed under the name Homo sapiens (human). RNAcentral describes it as "non-protein coding LINC00882:35". The record is from RNAcentral. Lineage: Eukaryota; Metazoa; Chordata; Mammalia; Primates; Hominidae.
ACCAGAGCUCUCGGAGAUCAACAAAGGUGCCGCUUUUGAAUGUGAAAGUUUUUUCAAGACUUUUCUAUUUCUUGGUUUGAAUCGUGUGCCUGUAGGGACACAUGCUACCUGCUUACUGGACAGUGACUACUUAGGAUAAGGACUCAGACACACAAGUGGAGAAGAUAAAUAGUAAUUUGGAACCAAAACUCAGGACGUCCCAGGAGAGGCUAGAUUAGGAAUUCUUUGAUUUGGGAUCACGAAAAUGAAGUAUCCAUAUUUUAACAGAAUGAUUAGUGGCAGAGGAAUCAUCUAAGAAAACUGAGAAGACUCUGCCAGAGUGAUGGGAAGAAAACUAGAUGAGAAAGCACCAUUCUGGAAGACAUGCUCCCAUGAACCAUGGAGAGAAGAGGAGAGGGAAGAAGUUAUUUGUGAUGUCAUUUGCCUGUGUCAUGGCCUGCCUUCCCUAGAUAUUGUCCUAAUGUGAGCAUCACACCUAAGGUACUGAAGUAGAGUUCUGGCUGUUCCUUACGGACAUCUCUGGUGGACCUCCAUCUGUUUUUGAUACAAGUCAGUCUUUUCCUGGACUUUUGGUAUCAUAUGGACAAUGUCAGUCAUUUGGCUGAAAAGUUCAACUUGAGCAGUUUUAACAUCUUGGAGCACUACUGGAAGAUUCAUUUUUCCGUCAUAACUAUCAUCAUCUUGAUUACAAUCAUCAGAUGUCACAGUGGGAUAUCCAGUUGAAUCUUGGUGCCGAAUCUUACAUUUGUGGUAAACAUUUUUAAGAGACUGUCUGACCUUGGAGAGAUUUGAAGUCCACAUCUGCCUAGCAGCAGCUUUUACCCUUUUGGUGUGAAGUGUGUACAUCUUUCAUGGUGAAACAAGAGGCAAGGUGUUGGAAAACAGAAUCACAGGAAGAAAUAAUGUACAAAUGAAAUGGUCCUUCUCUUACUAUUUGUUGGAUGCCUUUCCUGAUAACAUCUUAGAACACUCUGGAAAUCAUCAGCCACAGCAAUAGACACUGUUAGGUGAUUAGCUUCUUAUAGAGCAGCCCAACCAGAGAGCUCUGUGAAAUAAUAGUCAACUGCAUGGAAUCUUUCAUAUGGUAAUCAUUGACCUGCUGCUGAUGUCACAAUGACUGCUGGCUUAGAACAAACAUAUUUAACUACAGCAGUUCUCAAAAGUUUUGGUCAUAGGGCUCUUUUUGAAUCAUAGAAAUUGUUGAGCAGCCUGAGGAACACAGAAAAACACCUGUUGCUACAAAAAAAUAAAAAAAUUAGCCAGCCAUGGUGGUGCAUGCCUGUAGCCUCAGCUACUUGGGAGGCUGAGGUGGGAGGAUCACUUGAGCACAGGGGGUGGAGACUGUAGUAUGCCAUGAUGGUACCACUGCACUCCAGCCUGGGCGACAGUACAAGACUCUGUCUCAAAAUGAAUAAAUAAAUAAAUAAAUAAAUAAAAAUAAAAAUGAAAAAUUAUUGAGGAUCACACAGAUUUUGUUUAUUUGGGUUAUAUCUACCUACAUUUUAUAGUAGACAUUAAAACUAAGAAAGUCUUAGAUAAUUAGUUAUUAAUUUAAAUUUAAAAACCCAUUACAUGUUAACAUAAGUGAUAUAUUUUCAUAAAAAAUAAUUUGGUUUUCUAAAAAAAAAGUGAGAAGAGUGGCAUUGUUUUACAUAUCUGCAAGUGUUUUAAAUACCUGAAUUAAUAGAAGAUAACUAGAUUCUCAUAUCUGCUUCUGCAUUAUAUCUGUUGUGAUAUAUUAUUUUGAAGUAUAUGAAGAAAAAAUAGCCUCAUGGAGUUACGUAAAUGGAAAGGGGAGAGUAUUUUCAUAGCUUUUUCAGAUAAUUGAGGAUAUCAUUCUUUGCUACUUUAUGAAAAUUUGACAAAUGAUUUUUUUUAAGAAGUUAGCUGCAAUGUGUCAUUUUAGGCCAAAUCAAAGAAGUUUCAUACUCUGUUAUAUUAAUAGCCGCUGGUCUAUUUUUUAUUUUGAAUAGAUGCAUAAUAUCAUGUAUUGGUCAUUUGGCAAACAAUGGUUCACUGAAUUAUGUAGGUCUUCCAAAUGUCAACUCAUUGUAUUAUAUAAUAUCAAAAUAUCAUUUUCAUUAAUAUCUCCACCAAUCUCACCAGAAAAGUCUUUGAGUACUGAGAAGAGGCCAAGCUCAUGGUAGCAAAUGCAGAUUUUUCAAAAUUCUAAUUUUAGCUUGAAAAUCUUGAAAUUUAUCAAGCUGGUUUAUUGUUUUCCUUGAAGUGACAGAUUCCCUCCAUCCAUUUUUUGCAAAAAUGCUUGCCAAAUGCCCAACUAUGAACACUGUAGUUUGUUGUCAGUUUUUUUCAAGAAAAAAUAGUGUUCCAUGAAAAAAGCACACAUUUGUAAUUCAAAUACUUAUGUACGUUUCCUCAUGAAAACCAGUAUACUUUGUUAAGCUGCAGAAGCACUUAUGUUUACUUCCCAUUAUAUCAUACAUAAUAUAAAAAAGAUGUACUGAAGGGUUGAGAUCUAAUAAGAUUAAAAAUUCUUACUGCUUCAUUGAGGACAUUCUUGAGUGAAACUGGUUUUUCUUGUAUUUUUUUCCUUUUCUGAUUGAGUCACUGUUAGUCAGUGUGGUACCCCUGCUGUAGUUCAUGCUAAGGUAUCAACAGUUUUACCCACCAUUGCUUUUGCAAUGUAAUUUUCAACAGGCAAAUGUAAGCACAGUGGAAGAGACAAACGGUGUCCUGGGAUUAUUUUGAAAUAUUGUUGCCCUCAUUGUCACACUUACAGAGUGGUCUCAUGACACAAAGCAUUCCACACUUUGAGAGCCACUGCCUUAGAAUUUAAAAAUAACAGCAGCCAUUUCUCAUGUUCCUUCUUAUAGGUUUUUCUACAUAACAGUAUUUGAAAUUCAAACCCUUUGAAAUAUUAAAUAAUAUUUGGCCCAUUUUAUAUAUUGAGGUAAAAACUUAAUUUUAUUCUCUAAACACAUUAGACUGAACACUCUGGAAUCAAAAUGACGUGUUACUCACAUGUCUCUCAAGGAGCAGUCCCAUUCUACUCAAAAGGACAUUCCCUCUUGGAUCCAUGCCAAUUCCAACCUUCUACCAAAUCACUGUUUCUUCUAUCUGUGCCCAAUUGGAGGGUCAGUGUUGGCCCAGGAUUUGGUACAAACAGUGAGCUUUUCCAGCAGUAAUUUUAAAAUUUUGGCUCAUCAAUAAUAUCUGGGAUUUUGCCUUACUCUCCUAUCUUUCAAAUGCUGUUUAGUAACCUUUCGAAAAUGUCUAGAAACCUUUCCAAACACUUGCUGAGGAAAAUAUUCUCCAAGAGGCAGACUAUCACAGGAAUGGCAUUUGGGGCUUGGAAAGGUUAGAGUUCACAGCCGUCCCGUUUACUCUGGCUAAGGCCAUUUUAUCCGUCGAGUUCUGCAGACACAGUACUUAGGGCCCAUACAGUUUUUAAGGGCCAAUGAAAAUACUUAAGAACAGAAGAAAAAAAAAACAGUGGCUCAGAAUACUGAAAGAAAGCUGCAAGAUUGAAGCAAUAAAUGUUUAAUGAAACGUCUCUGAAAUGUACUAUGUCAUAUUCAUUAAUUGUUAGAUUUAGUAUUAUUAAAAUUUCAUUACAUUUGGAGGCAAUUUGUG